Molecule: transfer RNA, 83 nt
Filed under: Alphaproteobacteria bacterium
Lineage: Bacteria; Pseudomonadati; Pseudomonadota; Alphaproteobacteria
Description: tRNA-Leu
Rfam family: tRNA
About the family: Transfer RNA (tRNA) molecules are approximately 80 nucleotides in length.
Source: RNAcentral
GCCUCUGUGGCGGAAUGGUAGACGCGGCAGACUCAAAAUCUGCUGUCCUUAUGGAUGUGAGAGUUCGAAUCUCUCCGGGGGUA